This 474-nucleotide long non-coding RNA is filed under the name Phoenix dactylifera (date palm). RNAcentral describes it as "long non-coding RNA (PDAC_LNC017040)". Lineage: Eukaryota; Viridiplantae; Streptophyta; Magnoliopsida; Arecales; Arecaceae. The record is from RNAcentral.
UUCAGACUUGCAGUCGGGCUAUGUUGAGGACCCUGUCAAUGGGGGCUAAUACAUUGGUACCGCAAGAAGAAUAGUCGGUGAUAUGACCCUGCCACAAGGAACAUGUGGCCAUAGUUCCUGGCUGUUGAGUUGAAUCUGAUAAAUUGAAAUAACAUAAGAUAUGAACAAUAUUUGGUUUUGACACUGCAUAUUUUCAUGACUGAAUUAUGAAAUAGAGAACUAAUUGAACUUCGACCUGGCUAUGUUGAGGACCCCGCCAAUGGGGACAGAUACGUUGGCAAUUGAUUGUCCUGAAGGACUCACCGCAAGAAGAUUAGUAGGUGUUGAUGACCCUGCCACAGGGAACAUGUGGUCAUAGUCCAGGAUCGACAAGAUGAAUUGAAUAUGUGAAAGAAUCUCGAAACCGUGAAAAGAAUCUUAUGAAUUUAAGACAUAUUUGACUUGUACUUUGGAACUGCAUUUAUAUUUAUUUUC